RNAcentral lists this ribosomal RNA (2926 nucleotides) under Escherichia coli. RNAcentral's name for it is "23S ribosomal RNA". It matches the Rfam family "Bacterial large subunit ribosomal RNA". Lineage: Bacteria; Pseudomonadati; Pseudomonadota; Gammaproteobacteria; Enterobacterales; Enterobacteriaceae. The record is from RNAcentral.
GGGUUGUGAGGUUAAGCGACUAAGCGUACACGGUGGAUGCCCUGGCAGUCAGAGGCGAUGAAGGACGUGCUAAUCUGCGAUAAGCGUCGGUAAGGUGAUAUGAACCGUUAUAACCGACGAUUUCCGAAUGGGGAAACCCAGUGUGUUUCGACACACUAUCAUUAACUGAAUCCAUAGGUUAAUGAGGCGAACCGGGGGAACUGAAACAUCUAAGUACCCCGAGGAAAAGAAAUCAACCGAGAUUCCCCCAGUAGCGGCGAGCGAACGGGGAGGAGCCCAGAGCCUGAAUCAGUGUGUGUGUUAGUGGAAGCGUCUGGAAAGGCGCGCGAUACAGGGUGACAGCCCCGUACACAAAAAUGCACAUGCUGUGAGCUCGAUGAGUAGGGCGGGACACGUGGUAUCCUGUCUGAAUAUGGGGGGACCAUCCUCCAAGGCUAAAUACUCCUGACUGACCGAUAGUGAACCAGUACCGUGAGGGAAAGGCGAAAAGAACCCCGGCGAGGGGAGUGAAAAAGAACCUGAAACCGUGUACGUACAAGCAGUGGGAGCACGCUUAGGCGUGUGACUGCGUACCUUUUGUAUAAUGGGUCAGCGACUUAUAUUCUGUAGCAAGGUUAACCGAAUAGGGGAGCCGAAGGGAAACCGAGUCUUAACUGGGCGUUAAGUUGCAGGGUAUAGACCCGAAACCCGGUGAUCUAGCCAUGGGCAGGUUGAAGGUUGGGUAACACUAACUGGAGGACCGAACCGACUAAUGUUGAAAAAUUAGCGGAUGACUUGUGGCUGGGGGUGAAAGGCCAAUCAAACCGGGAGAUAGCUGGUUCUCCCCGAAAGCUAUUUAGGUAGCGCCUCGUGAAUUCAUCUCCGGGGGUAGAGCACUGUUUCGGCAAGGGGGUCAUCCCGACUUACCAACCCGAUGCAAACUGCGAAUACCGGAGAAUGUUAUCACGGGAGACACACGGCGGGUGCUAACGUCCGUCGUGAAGAGGGAAACAACCCAGACCGCCAGCUAAGGUCCCAAAGUCAUGGUUAAGUGGGAAACGAUGUGGGAAGGCCCAGACAGCCAGGAUGUUGGCUUAGAAGCAGCCAUCAUUUAAAGAAAGCGUAAUAGCUCACUGGUCGAGUCGGCCUGCGCGGAAGAUGUAACGGGGCUAAACCAUGCACCGAAGCUGCGGCAGCGACACUAUGUGUUGUUGGGUAGGGGAGCGUUCUGUAAGCCUGUGAAGGUGUGCUGUGAGGCAUGCUGGAGGUAUCAGAAGUGCGAAUGCUGACAUAAGUAACGAUAAAGCGGGUGAAAAGCCCGCUCGCCGGAAGACCAAGGGUUCCUGUCCAACGUUAAUCGGGGCAGGGUGAGUCGACCCCUAAGGCGAGGCCGAAAGGCGUAGUCGAUGGGAAACAGGUUAAUAUUCCUGUACUUGGUGUUACUGCGAAGGGGGGACGGAGAAGGCUAUGUUGGCCGGGCGACGGUUGUCCCGGUUUAAGCGUGUAGGCUGGUUUUCCAGGCAAAUCCGGAAAAUCAAGGCUGAGGCGUGAUGACGAGGCACUACGGUGCUGAAGCAACAAAUGCCCUGCUUCCAGGAAAAGCCUCUAAGCAUCAGGUAACAUCAAAUCGUACCCCAAACCGACACAGGUGGUCAGGUAGAGAAUACCAAGGCGCUUGAGAGAACUCGGGUGAAGGAACUAGGCAAAAUGGUGCCGUAACUUCGGGAGAAGGCACGCUGAUAUGUAGGUGAAGUCCCUCGCGGAUGGAGCUGAAAUCAGUCGAAGAUACCAGCUGGCUGCAACUGUUUAUUAAAAACACAGCACUGUGCAAACACGAAAGUGGACGUAUACGGUGUGACGCCUGCCCGGUGCCGGAAGGUUAAUUGAUGGGGUUAGCGGUAACGCGAAGCUCUUGAUCGAAGCCCCGGUAAACGGCGGCCGUAACUAUAACGGUCCUAAGGUAGCGAAAUUCCUUGUCGGGUAAGUUCCGACCUGCACGAAUGGCGUAAUGAUGGCCAGGCUGUCUCCACCCGAGACUCAGUGAAAUUGAACUCGCUGUGAAGAUGCAGUGUACCCGCGGCAAGACGGAAAGACCCCGUGAACCUUUACUAUAGCUUGACACUGAACAUUGAGCCUUGAUGUGUAGGAUAGGUGGGAGGCUUUGAAGUGUGGACGCCAGUCUGCAUGGAGCCGACCUUGAAAUACCACCCUUUAAUGUUUGAUGUUCUAACGUUGACCCGUGAUCCGGGUUGCGGACAGUGUCUGGUGGGUAGUUUGACUGGGGCGGUCUCCUCCUAAAGAGUAACGGAGGAGCACGAAGGUUGGCUAAUCCUGGUCGGACAUCAGGAGGUUAGUGCAAUGGCAUAAGCCAGCUUGACUGCGAGCGUGACGGCGCGAGCAGGUGCGAAAGCAGGUCAUAGUGAUCCGGUGGUUCUGAAUGGAAGGGCCAUCGCUCAACGGAUAAAAGGUACUCCGGGGAUAACAGGCUGAUACCGCCCAAGAGUUCAUAUCGACGGCGGUGUUUGGCACCUCGAUGUCGGCUCAUCACAUCCUGGGGCUGAAGUAGGUCCCAAGGGUAUGGCUGUUCGCCAUUUAAAGUGGUACGCGAGCUGGGUUUAGAACGUCGUGAGACAGUUCGGUCCCUAUCUGCCGUGGGCGCUGGAGAACUGAGGGGGGCUGCUCCUAGUACGAGAGGACCGGAGUGGACGCAUCACUGGUGUUCGGGUUGUCAUGCCAAUGGCACUGCCCGGUAGCUAAAUGCGGAAGAGAUAAGUGCUGAAAGCAUCUAAGCACGAAACUUGCCCCGAGAUGAGUUCUCCCUGACUCCUUGAGAGUCCUGAAGGAACGUUGAAGACGACGACGUUGAUAGGCCGGGUGUGUAAGCGCAGCGAUGCGUUGAGCUAACCGGUACUAAUGAACCGUGAGGCUUAACCUUACAACGCCGAAG